AGUGAACGCUGGCGGUAGGCCUAACACAUGCAAGUCGAACGGCAGCACAGUAAGAGCUUGCUCUUACGGGUGGCGAGUGGCGGACGGGUGAGGAAUACAUCGGAAUCUACUUUUUCGUGGGGGAUAACGUAGGGAAACUUACGCUAAUACCGCAUACGACCUACGGUUGAAAGCAGGGGAUCUUCGGACCUUGUGCGAUUGAAUGAGCGGAUGUCGGAUUAGCUGGUUGGCGGGGUAAGGGCCUACCAAGGCGACGAUCCGUAGCUGGUCUGAGAGGCUGAUCGGCCACACUGGAACGUAGACACGGUCCAGACUCCUACGGGAGGCCGCAGUGGGGAAUAGUGGGCAAUGGGCGGGAGCCUGAUCCAGCCAUACCGCGUGGGUGAAGGAGGCCUUCGGGUUGUAAAGCCCUUUUGUUGGGAAAGAAACGCAGCAGGUUGAUACCCCGCUGUUCUGACGGUACCCAAAGAAUAAGCACCGGCUAACUUCGUG
This 492-nucleotide ribosomal RNA is filed under the name uncultured bacterium. RNAcentral's name for it is "partial 16S ribosomal RNA". It matches the Rfam family "Bacterial small subunit ribosomal RNA", at positions 29 to 507 of the family's 1533-position model. The record is from RNAcentral.